UGGGUUACUGUAGCACUUAAGGCUAAUCAUGGAGUAACUAGGCUUAAAAGAUUCGUCUCGCGAUUCUCAACUAAACUGUGUAAUUUGUUUAUUUUUUUAUCUACAUUUAAUAUUCCAUUUAUGUGUCAAAGAUUCGAUAGGAUGGAUGAAAAAUUUUUGGGUGGAGAACUAAACAGGGCCUAACCAUUCGUUUUGUUGCCCAUGGCCGCAGGCUGCUCCUUUCGGUCGGUGAAUGGCACGCAGCGAUACCUGUUAACCGCACAGCCCUUCAAGUUUGGGCCGUGUUUAGUUUCUAAAGCAAAAUGAACCUCAUAAUUAAAGAAAAGGACAUUAUUCAGCUUGGACUUCACCUGCACUGUAUUCAUAUCCAUGCUUAUGUGGUUCUUGUUUUAUGUACAUAGUACGCCUCAAAUAAACUACAUGUCCCAUAUAGCUAGUAAUUUGUCACGAUACUUUUAACUUUGUCAAGAUACUGUAGCAAUAACAUACUACCUUCGUCUCAUUAAAAAUGUCAUCUUUAACUUUUAGAUUUUUUGUUUGAGCGUUCAUUUUAUUCAUUUUUUAUAUAAAAUAAAAAAAUAAAAAAAUCAUUUUUAAUAUAUCUCUAAUAAUAAAAUAGAUUAUAACAAAAUAAAUAAUAUUUAUACAAAAAAUUUAAAUAAGACGAAUGGUCAAAUAAUAUGUUUAAAGUCUAAAACCACACUCUCAAUGGAAGAGAGGGAGCACAGAAAUAAAUCCAUUUCAACCCCCGCCAAAUAGGGCUGAAGUAAAAUUCAUAUCCAUAGCCUGCCAGUGCAUAAUUAAAGUUGAGCAGCCCGCGGGCCAAAAUGCAUGGUCUAAAGCACGGAGAAUUGGUCCGAUAUGAGCACGGCCCAACCCACAUCUUAACCAUGCCCAUGCCAGCCCGAAGCACAUAGCGGGCUAUGCUUGGGCCGACCCCUCGGCGCGCGGGGCAGCACGACUCGGUCCGCUUUUAACAACAGCCACGAUGUCGGCCCGGUAUCAGAGAACUUAUAAAAUUUGAAGUAUCAAGUUCUGUAACUUGUAAAACUUGUGACUUUUGGAAUGUGAAAUAUGAUCUGUAAAGUAUAUUGUAUUAUGUGAAUUGUGAAGUGUUAAUGUGUGUGACUUGAAUGUGAUUUACUUAUGCUUUGCUGAAUUUUGUAUUAAAAUUAGUGUUUCUCAUACAACGGGC
Molecule: long non-coding RNA, 1195 nt
Filed under: Sorghum bicolor (sorghum)
Lineage: Eukaryota; Viridiplantae; Streptophyta; Magnoliopsida; Poales; Poaceae
Description: long non-coding RNA (SBIC_LNC011923)
Source: RNAcentral